This 334-nucleotide unclassified non-coding RNA is filed under the name fungal sp. RNAcentral describes it as "partial internal transcribed spacer region". The stretch from base 1 to 46 matches the Rfam family "Eukaryotic small subunit ribosomal RNA", at positions 1786 to 1831 of the family's 1831-position model. Lineage: Eukaryota; Fungi. The record is from RNAcentral.
AAGUCGUAACAAGGUUUCCGUAGGUGAACCUGCGGAAGGAUCAUUAUUAAUACUUGGUUUACACCAGUAAUUCAUGUGCAACUUUACCUGACGCUGCCAAUACUUGACGGUGGUCCUCCCUUGGGUGGUCACUAUUCAUACUUGGCAGCAGCCCGGAUCUUCUCUUUGAAGAUUCGGCAACCAGAUCCCAUGUUUUCAUUCGUGACGCAUGAGGUCUGGCUAUUUAAACCACUAUACAUCAGUCAUGAAAUCCGCCGACAAGUAGUAGUCGCAAGGCACUACAUGUCUGGCAAUAAAGGGAUAAAAACUUUUAGCAACGGAUCUCUAGGCUCUC